AUUGAACGCUGGCGGCAGGCCUCACACAUGCAAGUCGAACGAGUGGCGGACGGGUGAGUAAUGUCGGGGAAACUGCCUGAUGGAGGGGGAUAACUACUGGAAACGGUAGCUAAUACCGCAUACCCUCAGAUGUGCCCAGAUGGGAUUAGCGAGUAGGUGGGGUAAUGGCUCACCUAGGCGACGAUACCUAGCUGGUCUGAGAGGAUGACCAGACAAACUGGAACUGAGACACGGUCCAGACGCCUACGGGAGGCAGCAGUGGGGAAUAGUGCACAAUGGGCGCAAGCCUGAUGCAGACAUGCCGCGUGUGUGAAGAAGGCCUGCGGGUAGUAAAGCACUUUCAGCGAGGAGGCGUUACUCGCAGAAGAAGCACCGGCUAAUUCCGUGCCAGCAGCCGCGGUAAUUC
RNAcentral lists this ribosomal RNA (406 nucleotides) under uncultured bacterium. RNAcentral describes it as "partial 16S ribosomal RNA". It matches the Rfam family "Bacterial small subunit ribosomal RNA", at positions 29 to 526 of the family's 1533-position model. The record is from RNAcentral.